AUCUUAUUAGUAUAAGAAGUAUAUUUGUUUUCCAAACAAAAGGUUUAAAAUUAUUAAAUAAGA
RNAcentral lists this transfer RNA (63 nucleotides) under Sepiella inermis (spineless cuttlefish). Its description in RNAcentral is "tRNA-Gly". Lineage: Eukaryota; Metazoa; Mollusca; Cephalopoda; Sepiida; Sepiidae. The record is from RNAcentral.